UCCUCCAACCCGACAGCACCAAAAUGGUCAAGAUGCGUUAGCAGUCACAUUUAGAGGAAAUGCCCCGAGAAGGAACACAGAAAAGACAACAACUGCGAAGGAGCCAAACGAACUGAAGACUGCGGAUUAACAACAAAGAAGCUCCGACGCCUAGCGAGGCCACAGCGACGGAGCACAGCAGAGCAGAGCGCCGGAGAGAGGAGGAGAGAGGCGGCCGGCUGCCGGGAGCCGAGAGGUGGAGCUUCCGCCCCGGCGGGGCCGGACCACAGGCACACAGAAAGACUGGCAAGGCGGAGGGGGCGGGGGUAGAAGCACCUGCUCCCUCCCCGUCACGCCCCCAGUCAACAGGGCUGACCUCGCAUAGUCAUCCCAGCGGGACAAGAAUGCACGUUAAAGUGCUCACCAGGAUGUAAAGGGUUAGACUACUUCCUGAUCAAUUAAAAUGCAAUUCGCACCAA
Molecule: long non-coding RNA, 458 nt
Organism: Oreochromis niloticus (Nile tilapia)
Lineage: Eukaryota; Metazoa; Chordata; Actinopteri; Cichliformes; Cichlidae
Exons: 2
Source: RefSeq, a predicted model, not a curated record